UUAUAUGAUUAAGUAAGCGAUUGGAGCAAUCUGCGAUCUAGCAGGCAAAAUACCGCGCUGAAGCGGGGCACUGAUGUUAUGUGAGCGGCUGGGAUAUGUUGUGCUUUGCACAAUCCAGAACGCCGCUGAGGCGGGCGAAUUCUGACGCUCACUUUUUUAGCAUCACAAUGCGGGCAGUUAGGGCCCUCAGUGGCAGCUUCUGCGUGGGCGCGGCCAGGCAGAAGACACAAAGUUUGAGUCCGUCGGAGAUCCCGAUGGGUCCCACGCAGAUCGGGUAAACAUAAAUGAUAUCUUCAAUCCAUACUCCACCGGAACGCUUAAGGGAUUAGCAAAGCAAAUUCCACAAUCCUCUUUGGCGAUGAAUCAACGGCGAAGACAUAAGCAUUAUGAUGAAGGAGAAAGAUUCUGAUGAAAUGCCACUCGGCGCCGCUUAUAUAGGGCGCUUUCCCGCCACCCUUUUUGUGCGCUCGAGCGCCAUUGGCCAUUGCGAUGCAAUGGCGUUAAACGAAUAAGGCUUCAGUAUUUGAGGAGAAAGGUGUUUCCCCAAUGCGAUCAGCUUACGCUGUAUGCAACGUCGAGAGACCCUCUCGAAAGGGAACUGGUUGUGUCAAAGCAGCUAUACAGUGUCAAACAGGAAAUA
Molecule: long non-coding RNA, 640 nt
Organism: Sinocyclocheilus rhinocerous
Lineage: Eukaryota; Metazoa; Chordata; Actinopteri; Cypriniformes; Cyprinidae
Exons: 3
Source: RefSeq, a predicted model, not a curated record